UAGGGAAUCUUCCGCAAUGGACGAAAGUCUGACGGAGCAACGCCGCGUGAGUGAAGAAGGAUUUCGGUUCGUAAAACUCUGUUGUUAGGGAAGAAAAAAUGUAUAGUAACUAUAUACAAAAGAGACGGUACCUAACCAGAAAGCCACGGCUAACUACGUGCCAGCAGCCGCGGUAAUACGUAGGUGGCAACCGUUGUCCGGAAUUAUUGGGCGUAAAGCGCGCGCAGGUGGUUUAGAAAGUCUGAUUGGAAAGCCCACGGCUCAACCGUGGAGGGUCAUUAGAAACUAAUAGACUUGAGUGCAGGAGAGAGAAGUGGAAUUCCUAGUGUAGGGGUGAAAUGCGUAGAGAUUAGGAGGAACACCGGUGGCGAAAGCGGCUUUUUGGCCUGCAACUGAAACUGAGGCGCGAAAGCGUGGGGAGCAAACAGG
Molecule: ribosomal RNA, 429 nt
Filed under: Verrucomicrobiota bacterium
Lineage: Bacteria; Pseudomonadati; Verrucomicrobiota
Description: Verrucomicrobia bacterium partial 16S ribosomal RNA
Rfam family: Bacterial small subunit ribosomal RNA
Source: RNAcentral